ACGCUCGACACCUACGGGAGCAGCAGUGGGGAUAUUGCACAAUGGGGGAACCCUGAUGCAGCGACGCCGCGUGAGGGAAGAAGGUUUUCGGAUUGUAAACCUCUGUCCUCAGGGAAGAAGAUGACGGUACCUGAGGAGGAAGCCACGGCUAACUACGUGCCACAGCCGCGGUAAUCUGAGCGGGCUGGCAAGGC
Molecule: ribosomal RNA, 194 nt
Filed under: uncultured bacterium
Lineage: Bacteria
Description: partial 16S ribosomal RNA
Rfam family: Bacterial small subunit ribosomal RNA
Source: RNAcentral